Molecule: ribosomal RNA, 301 nt
Filed under: uncultured bacterium
Lineage: Bacteria
Description: partial 16S ribosomal RNA
Rfam family: Bacterial small subunit ribosomal RNA
Source: RNAcentral
CAGCAGCCACGGUAAUACGUAGGGUGCGAGCGUUGUCCGGAAUUACUGGGCGUAAAGGGCUCGUAGGUGGUUUGUCGCGUCGCCUGUGGAAUUCCGGGGCUUAACUCCGGGCGUGCAGGCGAUACGGGCAUAACCUGAGUACUGUAGGGGUAACUGGAAUUCCUGGUGUAGCGGUGGAAUGCGCAGAUAUCAGGAGGAACACCGAUGGCGAAGGCAGGUUACUGGGCAGUUACUGACGCUGAGGAGCGAAAGCAUGGGUAGCGAACAGGAUUAGAUACCCCCGUAGUCCCUGUCUCUUAUA